AUUCCAGCUCCAAUAGCGUAUAUUAAAGUUGUUGUGGUUAAAAAGCUCGUAGUUGGAUCUCGGCGGACUGAGGGCGGUUUGCUUGCUAGUAUUACUGCCCUAUAGUCCGUAGUUUUGCCAGAGGUUUCGAGGUGCUCUUAAUCGAGUGUCCCGGGAUGCUGGCAGGUUUACUUUGAAAAAAUUAGAGUGCUCAAAGCAGGCUAUUACGCCUGAAUAUUCGUGCAUGGAAUAAUAGAUAGGACUUUGGUACUAUUUUGUUGGUUUGCAUACCAAGGUAAUGAUUAACAGGGACAGUUGGGGGUAUUCGUAUUUAAUUGUCAGAGGUGAAAUUCUUGGAUUUAUGAAAGACGAACUACUGCGAAAGCAUUUACCAAGGAUGUUUUCAUCA
This 388-nucleotide ribosomal RNA is filed under the name Calanus sp. RNAcentral's name for it is "partial small subunit ribosomal RNA". It matches the Rfam family "Eukaryotic small subunit ribosomal RNA", at positions 582 to 975 of the family's 1831-position model. The record is from RNAcentral. Lineage: Eukaryota; Metazoa; Arthropoda; Copepoda; Calanoida; Calanidae.